CCUCUAUGACAUCAGGGCCCUGUCCUGUAAGCUUCUCCCCACUGUGACCCUGGGCUCAGACUUCUGCCCCCUUGGCCACCCUCUAACCACUGAAAUGGCCAUGUGAACGGAGGAGGGAAGGACUGGGUACAGACAGGCAGGACCGGGCAGCACAAGCCCAAGCCACAUGUGCAAUGUGUUCUUCUAGACGCAAACUAUACCUGGCUUUGGAGGUGCCCCGUCCGAGCGUCUUCACUGUGCAGAGGGUCCUGCGGUAGCACUGCUUCCGACUUCCCCCUGCCGUGUGGACAGGACUCCUGCCAUGUGAACACGACUCCCCCUGCCGUGUAGACAUUCUAACCAUGCAAACUCAUCCUGUACCUGCUCCUGGGUCUCAUCCUCUCCUCAGGCAGGUGGUUGGCAGCCUCUCCCAUCAGGCAUCAGGCCAGAGAGGCGGAGAGGGAAUCAUUGUUCCUUUUCUCCUUCCUCUCUGGACCCGUGCUCCCCAGCCAAGCUGAGAGCCCUGAAGAGCGAGAGUCCCCCCUGGUGGGCACAUCUGGGCCACUCGGGCGGAGCUGGACGUCACUGCAGG
This is a long non-coding RNA of Fukomys damarensis (Damara mole-rat), 571 nucleotides long. RefSeq lists it as uncharacterized. The transcript is spliced from 3 exons. NCBI's taxonomy places the organism in Eukaryota, Metazoa, Chordata, Mammalia, Rodentia, Bathyergidae. The record is from RefSeq and is a predicted model, not a curated record.